UUUAAGAUCCUCACCGGCCGUUCCGGGGUGACCUCGGGGCCCCGCCGGCUGUUUUUUAUUUUGUUUUCCCGGGAGUUCUAGGGGAUCCCGGUCUUCAUGCUCCGGGAGGCAUCUUUAAGAUCCUCGCUGGCCGUUCCGGGGUGACCUCGGGGCCCCGCCGGCUGUUUGUGCUCCCUUAGGAGGUCUUGCGCAAGGUUCAGGCUCAUUGGCCUUACUGUCGCUUCGUCAUCUCAGCUGGUUUUGUGCCUAACUGAGGUCUUGUUUAUUUUUCUGAAUUUUUCUGCAAAAUAAGAGCUUGUACAGAGCAUAUAUAAUGAAGAUGCUCGUUGUUAAUUCAAUAAUAU
This 344-nucleotide long non-coding RNA is filed under the name Manihot esculenta (cassava). RNAcentral's name for it is "long non-coding RNA (MESC_LNC011767)". The record is from RNAcentral. Lineage: Eukaryota; Viridiplantae; Streptophyta; Magnoliopsida; Malpighiales; Euphorbiaceae.